Molecule: ribosomal RNA, 483 nt
Filed under: uncultured bacterium
Lineage: Bacteria
Description: partial 16S ribosomal RNA
Rfam family: Bacterial small subunit ribosomal RNA
Source: RNAcentral
GACGAACGCUGGCGGCGUGCUUAACACAUGCAAGUCGAACGAUGAAGCUGGAGCUUGCUCCGGUGGAUUAGUGGCGAACGGGUGAGUAACACGUGAGCAAUCUGCCCUUGACUCUGGGAUAACUGCGGGAAACUGUAGCUAAUACCGGAUACGAGAUUUGGAGGCAUCUCCGGAUCUGGAAAGAAUUUCGGUCAAGGAUGAGCUCGCGGCCUAUCAGCUUGUUGGUGAGGUAAUGGCGCACCAAGGCGACGACGGGUAGCCGGCCUGAGAGGGUGACCGGCCACACUGGGACUGAGACACGGCCCAGACUCCUACGGGAGGCAGCAGUGGGGAAUAUUGCACAAUGGGCGAAAGCCUGAGGCAGCAACGCCGCGUGAGGGAUGAAGGCCUUCGGGUUGUAAACCUCUUUUAGUAGGGAAGAAGCGAAAGUGACGGUACCUACAGAAAAAGCACCGGCUAACUACGUGCCAGCCGCCGCGGUAA